Molecule: ribosomal RNA, 453 nt
Filed under: Brucella tritici
Lineage: Bacteria; Pseudomonadati; Pseudomonadota; Alphaproteobacteria; Hyphomicrobiales; Brucellaceae
Description: bacterial SSU rRNA
Rfam family: Bacterial small subunit ribosomal RNA
Source: RNAcentral
GAUUGAGUUUGAUCAUGGCUCAGAACGAACGCUGCGGCAGGCUUAACACAUGCAAGUCGAGCGCCCCGCAAGGGGAGCGGCAGACGGGUGAGUAACGCGUGGGAACGUACCUUUUGCUACGGAAUAACUCAGGGAAACUUGUGCUAAUACCGUAUGUGCCCGAAAGGGGAAAGAUUUAUCGGCAAAGGAUCGGCCCGCGUUGGAUUAGCUAGUUGGUGAGGUAAAGGCUCACCAAGGCGACGAUCCAUAGCUGGUCUGAGAGGAUGAUCAGCCACACUGGGACUGAGACACGGCCCAGACUCCUACGGGAGGCAGCAGUGGGGAAUAUUGGACAAUGGGCGCAAGCCUGAUCCAGCCAUGCCGCGUGAGUGAUGAAGGCCCUAGGGUUGUAAAGCUCUUUCACCGGUGAAGAUAAUAACGGUAACCGGAGAAGAAGCCCCGGCUAACUUCGUG